This 497-nucleotide ribosomal RNA is filed under the name uncultured bacterium. Its description in RNAcentral is "partial 16S ribosomal RNA". It matches the Rfam family "Bacterial small subunit ribosomal RNA", at positions 28 to 507 of the family's 1533-position model. The record is from RNAcentral.
GAUGAACGCUGGCGGCGUGCCUAAUACAUGCAAGUCGAGCGAACGGACGAGAAGCUUGCUUCUCUGAUGUUAGCGGCGGACGGGUGAGUAACACGUGGAUAACCUACCUAUAAGACUGGGAUAACUUCGGGAAACCGUAGCUAAUACCGGAUAAUAUUUUGAACCGCAUGGUUCAAAAGUGAAAGACGGUCUUGCUGUCACUUAUAGAUGGAUCCGCGCUGCAUUAGCUAGUUGGUAAGGUAACGGCUUACCAAGGCAACGAUGCAUAGCCGACCUGAGAGGGUGAUCGGCCACACUUGAACUGAGACACGGUCCAGACUCCUACGGGAGGCAGCAGUAGGGAAUCUUCCGCAAUGGGCGAAAGCCUGACGGAGCAACGCCGCGUGAGGGAUGAAGGUCUUCGGAUCGUAAAACUCUGUUAUUAGGGAAGAACAUAUGUGUAAGUAACUGUGCACAUCUUGACGGUACCUAAUCAGAAAGCCACGGCUAACUACGUG